GAAAUCCCUCGGGAUGUAAACUUCGCAAGAACGGGAAGAAUAAGUAGGGGACAAUACCCCCUAUGAUGACGGUACCGUUUGUAAGCUCCGGCUAACUCCGUGCCAGCAGCCGCGGUAAUACGGGGGGAGCAAGCGUUGUUCGGAUUUACUGGGCGUAAAGGGCGCGUAGGCGGUCAGCACAAGUCAGUUGUGAAAUCUCCGAGCUUAACUCGGAAAGGUCAACUGAUACUGUGCGACUAGAGUGCAGAAGGGGCAACUGGAAUUCUUGGUGUAGCGGUGAAAUGCGUAGAUAUCAAGAGGAACACCUGCGGCGAAGGCGGGUUGCUGGGCUGACACUGACGCUGAGGCGCGAAAGCUAGGGGAGCGAACGGGAUUAGAUACCCCGGUAGUCCU
This 393-nucleotide ribosomal RNA is filed under the name uncultured bacterium. Its description in RNAcentral is "bacterial SSU rRNA". It matches the Rfam family "Bacterial small subunit ribosomal RNA", at positions 410 to 797 of the family's 1533-position model. The record is from RNAcentral.